CUCAACUGGUAAAGACCUCUAAG
This 23-nucleotide non-coding RNA is filed under the name Arabidopsis thaliana (thale cress). The record is from RNAcentral. Lineage: Eukaryota; Viridiplantae; Streptophyta; Magnoliopsida; Brassicales; Brassicaceae.